UUGAAAGGGAAACGAUUGAAGUCAGUCGUACCAGCGGGAAAUCGACCUUUCGAGUGGGGGUUUUGGAGUUUUUUGAAGAGUGUCAAAACCUUUGAGAUUUCAAAAUAUUCGCUCUUUUGGUGUACUUUCUCGUGGGUAGGUUAACAUCGAUUUUGAUCAUCAUAAAAAGAUUGGAGGAAUGUAGCUUCGAUCUUGUAUUGAAGUGUUAUAGCCUUUGGUAAAUGUGAUGAUUAGGAUCGAGGAUUGCAACGAAUACCCUUUUGGGCUAUCCGCCUGAUCUCUGAUACGUGGCCUUGGUAUCGAAAGCGUGCUUAUGGUACUGAGGUAUUACGGUCAAAAGGUUAGAACGGAUUACAUUCGUUAAGGAUGUUGACGUA
This 377-nucleotide ribosomal RNA is filed under the name uncultured Glomeromycotina. RNAcentral describes it as "LSU rRNA". The record is from RNAcentral. Lineage: Eukaryota; Fungi; Glomeromycota.